AGUUUGAUCCUGGCUCAGGAUGAACGCUAGCUACAGGCUUAACACAUGCAAGUCGAGGGGCAGCAUGAUCUUAGCUUGCUAAGAUUGAUGGCGACCGGCGCACGGGUGAGUAACGCGUAUCCAACCUUCCCCUUAGUAGGGCAUAGCCCGGCGAAAGUCGGAUUAAUACCCUAUGUUUUCCGAUGAGGACAUCUGAGCUGGAAUAAAGAUUUAUCGCUAAGGGAUGGGGAUGCGUCUGAUUAGGUAGUCGGCGGGGUAACGGCCCACCGAGCCUACGAUCAGUAGGGGUUCUGAGAGGAAGGUCCCCCACAUUGGUACUGAGACACGGACCAAACUCCUACGGGAGGCAGCAGUGAGGAAUAUUGGUCAAUGGGCGAGAGCCUGAACCAGCCAAGUAAGCGUGCAGGAUGACGGCCCUAUGGGUUGUAAACUGCUUUUAUCGGGGGAUAAAGUGAGGGACGCGUCCCUUUUUGUAGGUACCCGAUGAAUAAGGACCGGCUAAUUCCGUGCCAGCAGCGGC
Molecule: ribosomal RNA, 520 nt
Filed under: uncultured bacterium
Lineage: Bacteria
Description: bacterial SSU rRNA
Rfam family: Bacterial small subunit ribosomal RNA
Source: RNAcentral